Molecule: ribosomal RNA, 253 nt
Filed under: uncultured Lachnospiraceae bacterium
Lineage: Bacteria; Bacillati; Bacillota; Clostridia; Lachnospirales; Lachnospiraceae
Description: partial 16S ribosomal RNA
Rfam family: Bacterial small subunit ribosomal RNA
Source: RNAcentral
UACGUAGGGGGCAAGCGUUAUCCGGAUUUACUGGGUGUAAAGGGAGCGUAGACGGCGAUGCAAGCCAGAUGUGAAAGCCCGGGGCUCAACCCCGGGACUGCAUUGGAAACUGUCGCGCUCGAGUGUCGGAGAGGUAAGUGGAAUUCCUAGUGUAGCGGUGAAAUGCGUAGAUAUUAGGAAGAACACCAGUGGCGAAGGCGGCUUUCUGGACUGAAACUGACGCUGAGGCACGAAAGCGUGGGGAGCGAACAGG